GACGAACGCUGGCGGCGUGCCUAAUACAUGCAAGUUGAGCGAUGAAGAUUGGUGCUUGCCCCAAUUUGAAGAGCAGCGAACGGGUGAGUAACGCGUGGGGAAUCUGCCUUUGAGCGGGGGACAACAUUUGGAAACGAAUGCUAAUACCGCAUAACAACUUUAAACAUAAGUUUUAAGUUUGAAAGAUGCAAUUGCAUCACUCAAAGAUGAUCCCGCGUUGUAUUAGCUAGUUGGUGAGGUAAAGGCUCACCAAGGCGAUGAUACAUAGCCGACCCGAGAGGGUGAUCGGCCACAUUGGGACUGAGACACGGCCCAAACUCCUACGGGAGGCAGCAGUAGGGAAUCUUCGGCAAUGGACGAAAGUCUGACCGAGCAACGCCGCGUGAGUGAAGAAGGUUUUCGGAUCGUAAAACUCUGUUGGUAGAGAAGAACGUUGGUGAGAGUGGAAAGCUCAUCAAGUGACGGUAACUACCCAGAAAGGGACGGCUAACUACGUG
Molecule: ribosomal RNA, 497 nt
Filed under: uncultured bacterium
Lineage: Bacteria
Description: partial 16S ribosomal RNA
Rfam family: Bacterial small subunit ribosomal RNA
Source: RNAcentral